RNAcentral lists this non-coding RNA (31 nucleotides) under Mus musculus (house mouse). The record is from RNAcentral. Lineage: Eukaryota; Metazoa; Chordata; Mammalia; Rodentia; Muridae.
UACCCAUUUCAUAAUGAACCUCUUUGUACUU